Molecule: long non-coding RNA, 280 nt
Filed under: Ananas comosus (pineapple)
Lineage: Eukaryota; Viridiplantae; Streptophyta; Magnoliopsida; Poales; Bromeliaceae
Description: long non-coding RNA (ACOM_LNC033513)
Source: RNAcentral
UUAAUAAAAUUUUGAGACCAAAUGUGGAGAUUGUUGAGUAUAAAAUAAUAAAAACUGUUAAAAUCGGAACGGCGAAAAAUAGAUCCAGAAAAUAAUUUAAUGCAGGAAGAAAAAAGAUAAGGAAAGAGCACACCGAUAUUUACAAGGUUCGGCCAACGGCCUAUGUCCACGGGCGAAGACGGAGCAAAUACUUUAUUAAUGUUAAAAAGACGAAGUACAAAAAAGAUCUCUCAAAGAAUUUCAUAAUCCAAAUAAAUAAAUUGACGCGCACAAAGCAUCU